RNAcentral lists this ribosomal RNA (277 nucleotides) under uncultured eukaryote. Its description in RNAcentral is "partial 18S ribosomal RNA". It matches the Rfam family "Eukaryotic small subunit ribosomal RNA", at positions 21 to 294 of the family's 1831-position model. The record is from RNAcentral.
UAGUCAUAUGCUUGUCUCAAAGAUUAAGCCAUGCAUGUCUAAGUAUAAACAACUUUAUACAGUGAAACUGCAGAUGGCUCAUUAAAUCAGUUAUAGUUUAUUUGAUGGUACCUUACUACAUGGAUAACCGUAGUAAUUCUAGAGCUAAUACAUGCGCAAACGGGGCCCCGCAAGGGACCCCAGUGUUUAUUAGAUAAAAAACCAAUUCGGCUCUCGGGCCGAUUCCACGGUGAAUCAUAAUAACUUUCGAAUCGCAUGGCCUCGUGCCGGCGAUAGA